RNAcentral lists this long non-coding RNA (1971 nucleotides) under Homo sapiens (human). Its description in RNAcentral is "non-protein coding lnc-ATP12A-1:8". Lineage: Eukaryota; Metazoa; Chordata; Mammalia; Primates; Hominidae. The record is from RNAcentral.
CUCCUGCCCCAGGCAAAGGGCUGAUUUCCUGAGUACACAUUAAUCUGAGCUCCCUCAGCCCUAGGGGUAGGGGGAUUGGGGGCACAAGAUGGGUGGAGCCAGAUAGGGAAGAUUCCCCCAGUGUUGUCCUGCUCCCAGUCCAGGUUUGGGACAAUGCCGGCAGCGUUUCCCUGUGUCUUUCCCCCACAAAGUCUCCAAGUCUCUCCUCAAAUGAGCUCCAAGGCUUGGGAGAAACAAUCUCUUCCUCUGCCCGGGUUGCGUGGAUCUCCAGUGGAAAGGAAGAACCGGAACUAUGAUUUGUGCCUUCCUUAUUGCCUCCGAAAUAUUUUUAACUGCAGAGGAAAGCCUGUAUUAUUUUGGAGAAAGGCGAACAGAUAAAACGCACAGCAGUAAAUUUCAGGGACUAGAAACUCCUUCUCAGUAGAGACAAGGUUUCACCCUGUUGGCGAGGCUGGUCUCAAACUCCUGACGCCCAGUGAUCUGCCCACCUCGGCCUCCCAAAGUGCUGGGAUUACAGGCGGGAGCCACCAUGAUGGCCAACUUUUGAAUUCUGAACCAGUUGAUUGAGUACCAGAGCUCUUCAAUACCUUGAAGAAAGAUUCAGGGGAGAGCCGUUGUGAACAGCUUGCCCCAGGGAAAGGACAAGGCUGAGAGAAUUCCAGGGCUUCCUUGAGAAAACAGAAUUGAGGAAAUGCAAAGUGAAGAAUUCUAGCAUCAGGAACAAGAGAAGAAUGAUGGAAAACCUGCUACUGAGGUAUGGAGGUAUUCCUCUGGAGUUUUCACUUAUACCAUUCUCUCAUGCCCAGGAAGCUGCUCUUCACCAAACCACAAGCCUUCCUCUAACUCAGUCACAACUAAGCUUCUAUCUGGACACUGAUGAUGCUGUAACUGUUUUGUUGUGCUUCUGAUUAGUUGCCCUCUCAACCAUAAGCAGCCUAUAAACAGGGCCUGGCUCCAUCCUUGUUACUUCCCCAUUGCACUGAAUUCAGUAUUUUUCCCUCAAGGUAGAUAGUUGUGGGGCAGCAUCCCUAAAAAUGUCCAGUUAUAUAAUGGCAUCCAGUAAAUGUUUUCUUAAUUACUUACCUCCAUUAACAAGCUUUAUGCAAAAAAAAAAAAAAAAAAAGGAAUGCUGACUUUAGACUUCAUCUCCACUUAAAGGAAGAUUUCUGUUGCUUUUCACAAUAGAUAUGUUGGAUAUUUUGCACAAGUGAAACAUCUCUACAACUGGAAUCUCCCUCCAAGACGGAUACUCUUUAUAAUAAGAUUCAUUAUUUAUUCGAUUCGUGGUGUUGGAACAGGCGAUGUAUGUGAUCUAAAAUUCCAAAUAGUAAUGGAGAAAAAGAUACUGCAUGACAUUGAAACAGCUGGUGUAUUAACUAAUGUAUAUGACAGUCCAUCUCUGUACGAUGAUGUGAAAGUGCAGUUUUUCUCUUCGAAUCUUCCUAAAUACUAUGACAAUUGUUCAUUUUUCUUCUGGUUCAACACAUCUUUUAUUCAAAAUAACAGAGAGAAAUUUAGAUAUUUUAUUAAACUUGGAAGUCAUUAAUGCCAUAUAAAGCAAUGCUAAGAGAGUCAGCAUGUGUUACUGAUGUGUUGCUGAAGAUUAAAGUAUUUUUAAGUCUCACCAAAAAGGUGGAAGGAGCCAACUGAGACACAAAAAAGGGGCUGAGGUUCUAUUCACGGCUUUAUCUACCAAGAAAUGAAUUGGAUAAUCCACAUCAACAAAAAGCAUGGAAAAUUUAUCCACCAGAAUUUGCCGUGGAGAUACUUUUUGGCGAGAAAUGACUUCCAAUGACGUAGCUGGAUCCGAUUAAGUAUAGUUUCCCCUUCCCCUUCUGGGAAAGAAUUAAUGUUCUUUCCAACCCCUGCCAUGUGCAUGUUCAUAUGUCCUAAGUCUUCCUUGAUGAUGUAUCUAUAUUUAUAUAUGUUUAUAUAUGUUCUUCAUAAAUCUAUUAAAUAUAUAUAGAUAAA